CGGAAGAAUUGGAUUCUAGAGACGUGAAGUGCUUGCCUGGUUGUUUACCUCUAGCCACUGCUCCCGUUGGCCACAGUGGGGCAGUGACUCAGAGCUGGAACUGUGUUCCUGCCUAGUUGCCAGAUUUUGUGUGGGGGGUGGAGAGGAAGGAGAAUGAAUGAGCAGGAGCAAGUGGCUGCUGGAUUUGUAACACCUUGGGAGGCAGCUGCUCAAGAACCAAAAUUGAGAGACAGCAGGCAGGCUGGGAGUCUCCCUCCCUGUCUGACCUGAACCUAAGAUUUAAUAAGGCGGUGCAUCUGGGGAAGACACUAUCCGAACGUGGAGCCCAAAGGGAGGCCAUAACCAGCAGACCACAGCAUUCAGGCAUCCUGUGACGGGACAAUUUUCUCCGGAAAAUAGUGAAUUCAUUCUUCAAGAAGAGCCGAAUCCACAUAUGUCGAAGCAAGACAGAAACCAAAGACCGUCCAGCAUGGUCAGUGAAACAUCCACGGCUGGGACCGCCUCCACCCUGGAGGCCAAGCCUGGACCCAAGUUUUGUGAGAGAGACCCAUAAGAAGUGUUCUCCCCAAAUGACAGAUCAGGAAACUGAGGCCAAGAGGGAUAUGUCCCUUGUCCAACAGAACAGAUCAUAAAGUCCAGCAAUAAAGUCCACAGCUUUGGGAAGAGAGACCAGGCCAUUCGGAGGAACCCCAAUGUUCCCGUGGUGGUGAGGGGCUGGCUGCACAAGCAG
Molecule: small RNA, 730 nt
Filed under: Pongo abelii (Sumatran orangutan)
Lineage: Eukaryota; Metazoa; Chordata; Mammalia; Primates; Hominidae
Description: processed transcript
Source: RNAcentral